GUUUCGUUAAAUCCCGUUGCCUAUUUUUCCAAACAAAUUUUAUUGAAAAAUUUCAAUUUUUUUUUCAAUAUGUUAAAACUUUUUUGGAUUUUUGUAAUAACAUACAUUUUCUUGCUGCUUGUGACUUCCAUUGUUGAGAGCAGCUCAGAGGAAAUGUCUUCAGAAGAUAUAGUACAACUAAAGCCCUCUGAUGCGGAUUAUUUCUCAUCGGAUUAUGUCUAUAGGGAAUAUUCAUCAGACGACUAUUCUUUGGCAUUUCCUUAAGCAGUGAGUCUUUUGAAGUGAUUUGAGUGAGGAAGGUCCUGUGACACUUGUCAGAUUAAAAUAAUAAUUUGUUGCAAAAUGAAAUGUAAAGAAUAAAAAAGUAUCCUGAAUCUAAUGAAAGCAAUCACAAAGGCUUCUUAGAGAAUAAGUUUUAUUAGCUUCUACUCAAA
Molecule: long non-coding RNA, 434 nt
Organism: Musca domestica (house fly)
Lineage: Eukaryota; Metazoa; Arthropoda; Insecta; Diptera; Muscidae
Exons: 2
Source: RefSeq, a predicted model, not a curated record